GUGAGCCGUGUAAUAGGCGACCAUUUCGCGCGGUUCGGGGGGCACUUGAAUAAGCCGCCGGCCCCCGGCUGCGUCUUUACCCCUAU
This is a non-coding RNA of Oryza glumipatula, 86 nucleotides long. The record is from Rfam. NCBI's taxonomy places the organism in Eukaryota, Viridiplantae, Streptophyta, Magnoliopsida, Poales, Poaceae.